UUUAAUUGAUUUUAAAACCCAAAACCAAAAAACUUCUCGAAACUUUUUUAAAAAAAAGGAGACGCAUAUCAUUUCCCAACGGCUUCCUGAGCCAAAUUCAAAUUAUAAAGUUCCCCAACCCCUUUCUCUCUAAAAGAAAAAAAAGAAAAAAAAAGAAAAAGGUCCCCCAUCACUCUCAUUCCUCCUCCGCUGACUCCUCGGCUCGCUCCUCUCGGUCCGAGGCCUACAGCCGUCUCCAGGCGGAGGCGGCCUUCGGGGAGAAGCUACCGAUCCCAGAGAUCGUGGCCCUGGGUGUUCAAUCCGAUUUCAAGAGCUCUGUCCUCGAAGCCCUCCCUGGAUUCCGCUUCAACGUCCGCGAGGUCGAGAUGGGCACCCGCCGCCCCCUCAUUCUCCAGAUGGUCCACGACCCCUCCGCCCUCGAACGCGCUGCAACUUCCAGGUUGACAGGCUGAACAAGAUUAUUGCACAUAUUUCGCCGUAUCUGCACAAGCUCGAGGCAAGUUCAUUGUGGAUUAGGAUGUCUUGGAUGUGAUGUAGAAGCAUGCUGUGGUUAUGCACCUCUCCCCAAGCUUGAUGAGUGUUUACUAAGAACUCAAUAUUCUUGAAGUAUUAUCAAGAAUAAGAAAAAGUAUUGUGAGGACCAAGUUGAGAAGCCUACACUCUCGAUUAUAUUUAGUAAUUGGUGAGAAGAUUUGAAGGUUUCAUAAUCCCUGAGGUCGCACGUUUUUCAUUGAGGAGCAAGAAGAAAAGAUUUUGCCCAAAACCCAAGGAUUGGCCAAAACAUCAAGUAAGUGGUUUCAGCUUUUGCAGUUUGUUUUAAAAUAACGUAGUUCUUCACUUGUUCUUUCUAAAAUUUUCCAAGAAAAAUUGGCUUGGGCAUCAAAUGCCACGUGACAUUUAUUGCAUUGUUAAACAUGUUAGGGCAUAGUUUUCAUCAAAAUCAUGUCCCAUGCAUUCAUAUUUUUAUUUUUAAAACAAAGCUGGAAAAAUAUUUUUCAAAGCCACAAAAGCCCUGGCCGCAUAUCCAGUGGUUUUAUCCAGGUUUGUUCAAAUUUUUUAAAAGUGGAUUUAUUACCCUUUUGCAGCCCCCAUUCUCUCACUUUUCUACCAAAAAUUCCAGAGAACACAAAAAUGCUAGCUCCCUAAGCUCCGCAGACCCCUUUGUGCUUGUAGAAAAUUUUGUUUUCUCUCAUUCUCUCAUCAAUAGUGCAGCACCUCAAGCACAAGUUCUUUCAUCAAUUCAUCAAUUCCCUUUGUGAGUUUUCAUUAUCCUAUGCUUGUUUUAUUCAAAUAGUUUGUAUAUUGUAUAGUUUUCAUGAAAUCAUGUUAGAAUAGGUUAUGUUUGCAUGGGAGCAUGUCAUAGAUUGCAUGAACAAAUGAUUUGAUGUUGUUUUGUUACAUGAUAGUAUCAUAGAAUCAUGUUUUAUUUUCUGUUCUAUUCAGUUUUCAAAACACCCUAAACUGAUAUUUCUUAAACUACCCGAAAACCAUGUUUAUUUGACAUUUUUGCAAAUAUUGAGUCUUUUUUAUUUCUAAUCACCGAACCAACUUAAUAUUUUCCAGAUUGACUGUUUUUCAUGCAUGACAAAUAUUUCCAAAGGGACCUAUAUGAUCGGCCAAGCCUCAGACAACUUUUUCUUGAUGCAACUUUCAUGUUUUCAAUUCCUCGAUUACAUAGUUGGUGUGUGAUGUUUUAAAACCUCAAAAGUAGUUUUCAAAAACUAAUUUUAGGGAUGAUUUUAGGUUCUGGACAGAAACUCCAGAGACCUAUAAAUCAGUUCUAAGGUCCUUUAAUCAUGAGUUUUAAGCAUCCAAACCACACUGUAUUGAUCUAGGCAUGUUUCGAGUCAUGUAGUAGCAAAAAAAAAAUCAAACUCAUGUGCAUCAUGUACAGAUUUGGUUGAAUUUUGUAGUUGUGUUUCAGAUACUCAGAAUUGAUCCAUAUAGGCUUUGGUUAUUGCUUCCAAGAGGCCUCAUGCUAACUAGAGUUAGUCUAGUUAGUAGCCUUGAAAGCAUGUUUAGAAAUAUUGUGUUUAAUAGUUCCUUCGGCUGAGGAGUUCAUUGAGGUGAUAGAGGUUGUUGUUUUCCCAAGCUCGUAUAUUUUAUUAUACAUAUAUGUUUGUAAGUUUUGCAAAGGAGGUUUGAAAGC
RNA transcript from Alnus glutinosa, 2149 nucleotides. It is a transcript of the gene named dynamin-related protein 5A-like, with no coding region annotated. Lineage: Eukaryota; Viridiplantae; Streptophyta; Magnoliopsida; Fagales; Betulaceae. The transcript is spliced from 4 exons. The record is from RefSeq and is a predicted model, not a curated record.